Molecule: ribosomal RNA, 468 nt
Filed under: uncultured bacterium
Lineage: Bacteria
Description: bacterial SSU rRNA
Rfam family: Bacterial small subunit ribosomal RNA
Source: RNAcentral
UUCCAGACUCCUACGGGAGGCAGCAGUGAGGAAUAUUGGUCAAUGGGCGCGAGCCUGAACCAGCCAAGUCGCGUGAGGGAGGACGGCCCUACGGGUUGUAAACCUCUUUUGCCGGGGAGCAACGGGCGUCACGUGUGGCGCCACUGAGAGUACCCGGAGAAAAAGCAUCGGCUAACUCCGUGCCAGCAGCCGCGGUAAUACGGAGGAUGCGAGCGUUAUCCGGAUUUAUUGGGUUUAAAGGGUGCGUAGGCGGAGUGUCAAGUCAGCGGUAAAAUUUCGGGGCUCAACCCCGUCGUGCCGUUGAAACUGACGCCCUUGAGUGAGUGAGAAGUAAGCGGAAUGCGUGGUGUAGCGGUGAAAUGCAUAGAUAUCACGCAGAACGCCGAUUGCGAAGGCAGCUUACCGGCGCUCAACUGACGCUGAGGCACGAAAGUGCGGGUAUCGAACAGGAUUAGAUACCCCUGUAAU